Molecule: ribosomal RNA, 811 nt
Filed under: Rothia sp. HMSC067H10
Lineage: Bacteria; Bacillati; Actinomycetota; Actinomycetes; Micrococcales; Micrococcaceae
Description: bacterial SSU rRNA
Rfam family: Bacterial small subunit ribosomal RNA
Source: RNAcentral
CGGCUAACUACGUGCCAGCAGCCGCGGUAAUACGUAGGGCGCGAGCGUUGUCCGGAAUUAUUGGGCGUAAAGAGCUUGUAGGCGGUUGGUCGCGUCUGCUGUGAAAGGCUGGGGCUUAACCCUGGUUUUGCAGUGGGUACGGGCUAACUAGAGUGCAGUAGGGGAGACUGGAAUUCCUGGUGUAGCGGUGGAAUGCGCAGAUAUCAGGAGGAACACCGAUGGCGAAGGCAGGUCUCUGGGCUGUAACUGACGCUGAGAAGCGAAAGCAUGGGGAGCGAACAGGAUUAGAUACCCUGGUAGUCCAUGCCGUAAACGUUGGGCACUAGGUGUGGGGGACAUUCCACGUUUUCCGCGCCGUAGCUAACGCAUUAAGUGCCCCGCCUGGGGAGUACGGCCGCAAGGCUAAAACUCAAAGAAAUUGACGGGGGCCCGCACAAGCGGCGGAGCAUGCGGAUUAAUUCGAUGCAACGCGAAGAACCUUACCAAGGCUUGACAUAUACUGGACUGCGUCAGAGAUGGCGUUUCCCUUCGGGGCUGGUAUACAGGUGGUGCAUGGUUGUCGUCAGCUCGUGUCGUGAGAUGUUGGGUUAAGUCCCGCAACGAGCGCAACCCUCGUUCUAUGUUGCCAGCACGUGAUGGUGGGGACUCAUAGGAGACUGCCGGGGUUAACUCGGAGGAAGGUGGGGAUGACGUCAAAUCAUCAUGCCCCUUAUGUCUUGGGCUUCACGCAUGCUACAAUGGCCGGUACAGAGGGUUGCGAUACUGUGAGGUGGAGCUAAUCCCUAAAAGCCGGUCUCAGUUCGGAUUGGGG